GAUGAACGCUAGCGAGACGCUUAACACAUGCAAGUCGAAUGCCAACUUGUUGGCAUGGCAGACGGGUGAGUAACACGUGCUUAAUUUGCCCCGGAGUGGGGGACAACAUCGGAAACGGUGAUAAUCCCGCAUACGUUCCACAAAAUGAAAAUAUGUGGAAGAAAGAUUUAUCGCUCUGGGAGAAGGGCGCGUCUGACUAGUUAGUUGGUGAGGUAAUGGCUCACCAAGACGAUGAUCAGUAGCUGGUCUGAGAGGACGAUCAGCCACAAUGGGACUGAGACACGGCCCAUACCCCUACGGGGGGCAGCAGUGGGGAAUCUUGCGCAAUGGACGAAAGUCUGACGCAGCGAUCUCGCGUGAAGGAUGAAGCUUUGCGGAGUGUAAACUUCUUUUCUGGGAGAAAACGACUGAUGGUAUCUCAGGAAUAAGGGACGGCUAACUACGUG
This 446-nucleotide ribosomal RNA is filed under the name uncultured bacterium. Its description in RNAcentral is "bacterial SSU rRNA". It matches the Rfam family "Bacterial small subunit ribosomal RNA", at positions 28 to 507 of the family's 1533-position model. The record is from RNAcentral.